This 73-nucleotide transfer RNA is filed under the name Mitrasacme pygmaea. Its description in RNAcentral is "tRNA-Met". It matches the Rfam family "tRNA". From Rfam's summary of the family: Transfer RNA (tRNA) molecules are approximately 80 nucleotides in length. Lineage: Eukaryota; Viridiplantae; Streptophyta; Magnoliopsida; Gentianales; Loganiaceae. The record is from RNAcentral.
ACCUACUUAACUCAGGGGUUAGAGUAUUGCUUUCAUACGGCGAGAGUCAUUGGUUCAAAUCCAAUAGUAGGUA